GACGAACGCUGGCGGCGUGCUUAACACAUGCAAGUCGAACGAAGAGUGAUUACGGAUUCUCCGGAGGAAGUAUGAUCUGACGGAGGGGCGGAAGGGGGAGAACCGAGUGAGUAACCUGGGAUUCAGUGGGGGAUCGGGUUCGGAAACGGACGGAAAUACCGCAUAAUGUAGUUUGACAGCAUGAUCGAAUUACCAAAGAAUUAUCGCUGAGGGAUGGACUCGCGUCUGCUUAGGUAGAUGGUGGGGUAACGGCCGACCAAGCCGACGAUCAGAAGCCGGACUGCGGGGUUGCUCGGCCACCUUGGGACUGAGGCACGGCCCAGGCUCCUUCGGGAGGGAGCAGUGGCGUAUCUUGCACAAUGGGCGCAAGCCUGAUGCAGCUACGCCUCGUGAAGCAAGGCGGUUUUCGGAGUGUAAACUUCUGUUCUUAGUGAAGCAUAAUGACGGUACCUAAUGAGCAAGCCACGGCUAACUACGUG
Molecule: ribosomal RNA, 479 nt
Filed under: uncultured bacterium
Lineage: Bacteria
Description: partial 16S ribosomal RNA
Rfam family: Bacterial small subunit ribosomal RNA
Source: RNAcentral